RNAcentral lists this ribosomal RNA (378 nucleotides) under Macromedaeus crassimanus. RNAcentral describes it as "partial 12S ribosomal RNA". The record is from RNAcentral. Lineage: Eukaryota; Metazoa; Arthropoda; Malacostraca; Decapoda; Xanthidae.
UUAGAUACCCUAUUAUACUAAUAGAAACCUGAAUUAUUAAUAGAUAUAAUCUUUAAACUUGAAGAAUUUGGCGGUGGUUUAAUCUUGUUAGAGGAACCUGUUUUUGAAUCGAUAAACCACGCAAAAUCUUACUUUUUUUACUUAGUUUGUAUACCGUCAUUAACAGAUAAUCUUAAUAAAAGAGGUAAUUGUUAAAAUUUAUAAUAAUAUAAAUAAACUUAGAUCAAGGUGCAGCUAAUAGAAAAGUUAAAAUGGGUUACAAUAAAAUUUAUUUAGAUGGAGUAGCAGAUAAAAUAUUGCUAUAAAGGAGGAUUUAAUUGUAAUAUAAGUUUAAUAAGCUUUAAAGAUAUAAGCUCUAAAUCAUGUACAUAUCGCCCG